AUACGGAGGGGGCUAGCGUUGUUCGGAAUUACUGGGCGUAAAGCGCGCGUAGGCGGCCUGCCAAGUUGGGGGUGAAAGCCCGGGGCUCAACCCCGGAACUGCCCUCAAAACUGGCAAGCUAGAGACCGGGAGAGGUGAGUGGAAUUCCCAGUGUAGAGGUGAAAUUCGUAGAUAUUGGGAAGAACACCAGCGGCGAAGGCGGCUCACUGGACCGGUACUGACGCUGAGGUGCGAAAGCGUGGGGAGCAAACAGGAUUAGAAACCCCAGUAGUCC
Molecule: ribosomal RNA, 274 nt
Filed under: uncultured bacterium
Lineage: Bacteria
Description: partial 16S ribosomal RNA
Rfam family: Bacterial small subunit ribosomal RNA
Source: RNAcentral